This 74-nucleotide transfer RNA is filed under the name Ornithobacterium rhinotracheale. Its description in RNAcentral is "tRNA-Gln". It matches the Rfam family "tRNA". Rfam says of the family: Transfer RNA (tRNA) molecules are approximately 80 nucleotides in length. Their secondary structure includes four short double-helical elements and three loops (D, anti-codon, and T loops). Further hydrogen bonds mediate the characteristic L-shaped molecular structure. tRNAs have two regions of fundamental functional importance: the anti-codon, which is responsible for specific mRNA codon recognition, and the 3' end, to which the tRNAs corresponding amino acid is attached (by aminoacyl-tRNA synthetases). tRNAs cope with the degeneracy of the genetic code in two manners: having more than one tRNA (with a specific anti-codon) for a particular amino acid; and 'wobble' base-pairing, i.e. permitting non-standard base-pairing at the 3rd anti-codon position. RNAcentral also lists the same sequence under 2 other names. Lineage: Bacteria; Pseudomonadati; Bacteroidota; Flavobacteriia; Flavobacteriales; Weeksellaceae. The record is from RNAcentral.
AGACCCAUGGUGUAACGGUAGCACACCGGUUUUUGGUGCCGUUUGUCGGGGUUCGAAUCCCUGUGGGUCUACAA